This 351-nucleotide RNase P RNA is filed under the name Candidatus Wolbachia massiliensis. RNAcentral describes it as "RNase P RNA component class A". It matches the Rfam family "Bacterial RNase P class A". Rfam says of the family: Ribonuclease P (RNase P) is a ubiquitous endoribonuclease, found in archaea, bacteria and eukarya as well as chloroplasts and mitochondria. Its best characterised activity is the generation of mature 5'-ends of tRNAs by cleaving the 5'-leader elements of precursor-tRNAs. Lineage: Bacteria; Pseudomonadati; Pseudomonadota; Alphaproteobacteria; Rickettsiales; Anaplasmataceae. The record is from RNAcentral.
CUAGGUGAAAUAAGUAGCUGCUGUUGUGUGAUAAACACAGCAGAGGAAAGUCCGGGCUCCAAGGAAAAAUAGUGACGGGUAACGCCCGCCGGAGGUAACUCCAGUUAUAGGACUACAGAAAAUUACCGCCUAAAAUAUUUUUAGGUAAGGGUGAAAAGGUGUGGUAAGAGCACACCAUAACAAUGGCAACAUUGGUAGUUGAGUAACCAACACUAGGAGCAAGAUUAAAUAAGAGUAGACCUUAUGCUUUUCCUCAUAUCUACUCGGGUAAAUCGCAUGCAAUAAAUGGUAACAUUUAUUCCAGAUAAAUAGCUACAUAAACAGAACUCGGCUUAUAUUUCACCUAGGCCU